Molecule: long non-coding RNA, 670 nt
Filed under: Physcomitrium patens
Lineage: Eukaryota; Viridiplantae; Streptophyta; Bryopsida; Funariales; Funariaceae
Description: long non-coding RNA (PPAT_LNC010155)
Source: RNAcentral
AGGUUAUCGUCUAUUUGGUAAUUCCAAUCUUUUUCAAAAAUUUUAUGCUUGUUUUUAACUUAGUUUUUAAGAAGUGUGCAAUAUUUGAAUUAAGAUUUAUGGUUCAUUCAUUAAUUAUUGAGGCUUAAAUUUAUUAUAGAAAUUAUUAGGAUUUGAUUAGGAUUUGAUUUAGGAUUAGGAUUUAGGAUUUGAUUAGGAUUUGAUUUAAGAUUAGGAUUUGGUUAGGGUUUGAUUUAGGAUUUAGGAUUAGGAUUAAGAUUUGGUUAGGAUUUGGUUUACGUUUUAGGAUUUGAUUAGGAUUUGAUUUAGGAUUUAGGAUUUUAUUUGAGUUUAUUUAAGAUAUAAGAUUUAGUUAGUUUUUGGCCUAAAAUUUGAAUGAAGUAAGUUUUCAACUAGGAUUAUAUUAAGAUUGAAUUGAGAUAUAUUUGAGAUAUGUUUGUAAUCAUUCUAAUAUUUCUUUAAGAUUUUUUAUUGUUUCUUUGGAAUUCCUUUGAAGUUUCUCUGAAUUUGAUUAAAGCUUAUUUAACAUUGUUAGUGUUCUAUUAGAGUUAGAUAUUUGUUGUUGCAAUUUCUAUUCUACCUUCUAUAACGAGGUGACUAGAGCAUUCUCAAGUAAGACUUCAUGUAUUACAAUACUGUUUUAAAUCUCCAACUGAAGCUCAUGUUUUAU